Molecule: non-coding RNA, 118 nt
Organism: Callorhinus ursinus (northern fur seal)
Lineage: Eukaryota; Metazoa; Chordata; Mammalia; Carnivora; Otariidae
Source: RefSeq, a predicted model, not a curated record
AGGGCAAGGGUCUUGUGUAUGUAUUAAAAACAUUUCCAUUAGACUUGGGACCAGGGUAGAGGUGCCCAUGUGGUUAACUAAUAUUUCCCAUUGUUUUGGAAGUCUGCCAAAUUUCAUA